ACACUCCUGCGGGAGGCAGCAGUGGGGAAUUUUGGACAAUGGGCGAAAGCCUGAUCCAGCCAUGCCGCGUGCAGGAUGAAGGCCUUCGGGUUGUAAACUGCUUUUGUACGGAACGAAACGGCCUUUUCUAAUAAAGAGGGCUAAUGACGGUACCGUAAGAAUAAGCACCGGCUAACUACGUGCCAGCAGCCGCGGUAAUACGUAGGGUGCAAGCGUUAAUCGGAAUUACUGGGCGUAAAGCGUGCGCAGGCGGUUAUGUAAGACAGUUGUGAAAUCCCCGGGCUCAACCUGGGAACUGCAUCUGUGACUGCAUAGCUAGAGUACGGUAGAGGGGGAUGGAAUUCCGCGUGUAGCAGUGAAAUGCGUAGAUAUGCGGAGGAACACCGAUGGCGAAGGCAAUCCCCUGGACCUGUACUGACGCUCAUGCACGAAAGCGUGGGGAGCAAACAGGAUUAGAAACCCCAGUAGUCC
This 471-nucleotide ribosomal RNA is filed under the name uncultured organism. Its description in RNAcentral is "partial 16S ribosomal RNA". It matches the Rfam family "Bacterial small subunit ribosomal RNA", at positions 333 to 796 of the family's 1533-position model. The record is from RNAcentral.